Molecule: ribosomal RNA, 565 nt
Filed under: uncultured cyanobacterium
Lineage: Bacteria; Bacillati; Cyanobacteriota
Description: bacterial SSU rRNA
Rfam family: Bacterial small subunit ribosomal RNA
Source: RNAcentral
UGUCGUAGCCAACGCGUUAAGUGUUCCGCCUGGGGAGUACGCACGCAAGUGUGAAACUCAAAGGAAUUGACGGGGGCCCGCACAAGCGGUGGAGUAUGUGCUUUAAUUCGAUGCAACGCGAAGAACCCUUACCAGGGUUUGACAUCCUGCGAAUCUCUUGGAAACGAGAGAGUGCCUUUCGGAACGCAGUGACAGGUGGUGCAUGGCUGUCGUCAGCUCGUGUCGUGAGAUGUUGGGUUAAGUCCCGCAACGAGCGCAACCCACGUCGUUAGUUGCCAGCAUUUAGUUGGGCACUCUAGCGAGACCGCCGGUGAUAAACCGGAGGAAGGUGUGGAUGACGUCAAGUCAUCAUGCCCCUUACAUCCUGGGCUACACACGUACUACAAUGCUACGGACAAAGGGCAGCAAGCUCGCGAGAGUUAGCAAAUCCCAUAAACCGUGGCUCAGUUCAGAUCGUAGGCUGCAACUCGCCUACGUGAAGGAGGAAUCGCUAGUAAUCGCAGGUCAGCAUACUGCAGUGAAUACAUCCCGGGCCUUGUACACACCGCCCGUCACACCAUGGAAG